GAUGAACGCUGGCGGCGUGCCUAAUACAUGCAAGUCGAGCGAACGGACGAGAAGCUUGCUUUUCUGAUGUUAGCGGCGGACGGGUCAGUAACACGUGGAUAACCUACCUAUAAGACUGGGAUAACUUCGGGAAACCGGAGCUAAUACCGGAUAAUAUUUUGAACCGCAUGGUUCAAAAGUGAAAGACGGUCUUGCUGUCACUUAUAGAUGGAUCCGCGCUGCAUUAGCUAGUUGGUAAGGUAACGGCUUACCAAGGCAACGAUGCAUAGCCGACCUGAGAGGGUGAUCGGCCACACUGGAACUGAGACACGGUCCAGACUCCUACGGGAGGCAGCAGUAGGGAAUCUUCCGCAAUGGGCGAAAGCCUGACGGAGCAACGCCGCGUGAGUGAUGAAGGUCUUCGGAUCGUAAAACUCUGUUAUUAGGGAAGAACAUAUGUGUAAGUAACUGUGCACAUCUUGACGGUACCUAAUCAGAAAGCCACGGCUAACUACGUG
This 497-nucleotide ribosomal RNA is filed under the name uncultured bacterium. RNAcentral's name for it is "partial 16S ribosomal RNA". It matches the Rfam family "Bacterial small subunit ribosomal RNA", at positions 28 to 507 of the family's 1533-position model. The record is from RNAcentral.